Long non-coding RNA from Oreochromis niloticus (Nile tilapia), 1821 nucleotides. RefSeq lists it as uncharacterized. The record is from RefSeq and is a predicted model, not a curated record. The transcript has 6 exons. Lineage: Eukaryota; Metazoa; Chordata; Actinopteri; Cichliformes; Cichlidae.
CUUCCGCGUUCUAUGUAGUCCUGCCCCAGUGCUUCCGGUAUGGUUAAACCAUGGCGACGUUCUACACUCGCUGCCUACAAGAGCUCCCAAAAUUGAACAUCACUGAUGUUCAUCGGAUUUGCAGAGUGACGACUACCCCAGCCAGCAAAUUAGAUAAAGGAUUUAAGUUAUAUGCUGCAUCAUAUAUACACAACUACCAAGUGUCCAAUAAAGACAGGUUGUCAGGGGAGGUCGGUGUGAGAGCCCUGUGCUACAGGUCAAUGAGGAAGAGUGAGGCACCACACAGACUAAGUAUUAAGCUUCUGGAUUCAUCGCCGGUGGUACUGACACAUAGCCAGUGCUCCUGUGUGGCAGGCGCUGUUAUGUGCAAUCACACUGUGGCACUGCUCUUCCAAACAGCACACUACUCACAACUCAGAGUGCCGGUUGUCCCCCCUGUGCAUAGCUGGACGGAAUCUGAACAGCAAUGGCACAAGCCACGGACAGUGGGUGUGAAGCCAGGACCCAUCAACUCCAUGAUCUUCACUAAGCCGGUACCAAAUAGGAUGGCCCAGACUGGAGUACGGAGUGGCUUCUACAGAGGCAUGGUGGGUUCGUUACCAGAUCCUUGCUUGUUCAGAAUAACGGAGGCAUAUGCAAAAUUUAAUAUUGAGGACAGGCCACUUGUGACCACAAUGAACAUGAGACCUGACAAGCCCCUUGUGGAAAGUGCUUUUGGGCUGGUGCAGGAGGGCAGUGUUCUGUCAUAUCAGCAGCCGGUUUUGACAACCCGGUACAUCACACUACACCGUGAUGCACCACCAACACCGCACUUGCCUCUGGAGGGAGUCUCCACGUCUAUGGACAGGUCUUCUGCAGCUGAUGCAGAUAUGUCCAAUGCAGACGGCUCAGGGACUGAGCAGUAGUCAUGAUCUCUUGUAGUGCUCUUCUUGAUCGUCAGGAGGAACUAGUUCCGGGCGUCGCUCCGUUCUCUCCCAAACACUUUAUAGCCAUUCCACUCAAAAAGUGUUGGUACAGCACCUUUAAUAAGCCGCCUUCGACCAUCAAGGGUUGUCGGCUCUAUGAGUUGAUCACUGGCAAAGUGUCUGCUGCAGACCCUGGUGUGAGAGGUAAUCGUGAAAUGAUCCCGGCGUAUGUUUACCAGCCAUUGUCUUCUCAAGUCGGAAUGGGUCGGAAAGCCAUGAAAACUUUGUAUGCCGUUACAUUUGGCUGAAGCCGAACAAAGUGGGACACAGCAAUGCUCGGAGUAUUUCUUCUCCUGUUUUUGAAAAUGUUCUGUUUUAAAUACUUUCCUUUUUAUACUCAUUCUGAAGUGACAUUAGCGUAGCUACCGAUAGAUAAACAAACAUACCGGAAACGCCCAAGCGGUAGUAUUUGGAAACGGAAAUACGUGACAUGCCUUAGUGCAAGUAGUCCAUUGCACUGGGAGACACUUAAAAGAAGUGGAGGAUCUAUCGGUUUUGUGAGGAAAGAAAAGAUGAACGGUAAGUGUGUUAGCCUAACUAUUAGCCUAAAAAUCCGUCAUCAGUAUUAUAUGAAUCAUGAUAAAGCACUGAAUCUUUUAUGUUUUCUCAUCAUUUUCUAUGUCAUUGAUUUUGUUCUUACUAUUCCAGAUUACUUUUAAUAUAAUUAUUUGUAAGACCUGAAAACGAUAGAUGAAAGAAAAUGUGCAUUAAUUUACGUCACAUUCUUAAGAGAAAACAUUAUAUGUAUUUACGUCAUCAUCGUAAUAUUUGCCAAAACUUUUGCGUCAUUCAUAUGAUGCAGAGUAACAGUCAUUCUGCCAGCAGCAUUGAAAAACAAAAGCAGAAACCUUUCAAC